RNAcentral lists this ribosomal RNA (247 nucleotides) under uncultured bacterium. RNAcentral's name for it is "partial 16S ribosomal RNA". It matches the Rfam family "Bacterial small subunit ribosomal RNA", at positions 524 to 770 of the family's 1533-position model. The record is from RNAcentral.
UACGAAGGGGCUAGCGUUGCUCGGAAUCACUGGGCGUAAAGGGUGCGUAGGCGGGUCUUUAAGUCAGGGUGAAAUCCUGGAGCUCAACUCCAGAACUGCCCUUGAUACUGAGGAUCUUGAGUUCGGGAGAGGUGAGUGGAACUGCGAGUGUAGAGGUGAAAUUCGUAGAUAUUGGGAAGAACACCGGUGGCGAAGGCGGCUCUCUGGACCGAGACGUGACGCUGAGGCGGCGAAAGCGUGGGGAGCA